Molecule: ribosomal RNA, 372 nt
Filed under: uncultured organism
Description: bacterial SSU rRNA
Rfam family: Bacterial small subunit ribosomal RNA
Source: RNAcentral
CGUAGGGGGCAAGCGUUGUCCGGAUUUAUUGGGCGUAAAGCGCGCGUAGGCGGCAAGGUAUGUCGUGCGUGAAAUCUCCCGGCUUAACUGGGAGGGGCCGUGCGAAACUGCCUGGCUUGAGGUCGGAAGGGGAAAGUGGAAUUCCGGGUGUAGUGGUGGAAUACGUAGAUAUCCGGAGGAACACCAGCGGCGAAGGCGGCUUUCUGGUCCGAUUCUGACGCUGAGGCGCGAAAGCGUGGGGAGCGAUCCGGAUUAGAUACCCGGGUAGUCCACGCCGUAAACGAUGAGUACUAGGUGUCGGGGGUAUCGACCCCCUCGGUGCCGUCGCUAACGCAUUAAGUACUCCGCCUGGGGACUACGGCCGCAAGGCUA